RNAcentral lists this ribosomal RNA (1493 nucleotides) under uncultured bacterium. Its description in RNAcentral is "16S ribosomal RNA". It matches the Rfam family "Bacterial small subunit ribosomal RNA". The record is from RNAcentral.
GAUCAUGGCUCAGGAUGAACGCUGGCGGCAUGCCUAAUACAUGCAAGUCGAACGGAGUGAAGCCUUCGGGUUUCAUUCAGUGGCGAACGGGUGAGUAAUACGCAGGGAACCUGGCCAUGGCAGGGGGAUACACUCUGGAAACGGAGCAUAAGACCCCAUAGGCAGUAAGGCGGCAUCGCCUUACUGUUAAAGAAAGCUGAAAGGCUUUGGCGAUGGAUGGACCUGCGGUGCAUUAGCUUGUUGGUGAGGCAACGGCUUACCAAGGCGAUGAUGCAUAGCCGGCCUGAGAGGGCGGACGGCCACACUGGGACUGAGACACGGCCCAGACUCCUGCGGGAGGCAGCAGUAGGGAAUUUUCGUCAAUGGGCGCAAGCCUGAACGAGCAAUGCCGCGUGAGUGAGGAAGGUCUUCGGACUGUAAAGCUCUGUUGCCGGGGAAAAAGGGGAAAUGCAGGAAAUGGCAUUUCAUGGAUGGUACCCGGCCAGAAAGCCACGGCUAACUACGUGCCAGCAGCCGCGGUAAUACGUAGGUGGCGAGCGUUAUCCGGAAUGAUUGGGCGUAAAGGGUGCGCAGGCGGUCUGUUAAGUCUGAAGGCAAAGGAAUGAGCUCAACUCAUUUAUGAUUCAGAAACUGGCAGACUUGAGGACAGGAGAGGGCGGUGGAACUCCAUGUGUAGCGGUAAAAUGCGCAGAGAUAUGGAAGAACACCAGUGGCGAAGGCGGCCGCCUGGCCUGUGACUGACGCUGAGGCACGAAAGCGUGGGGAGCAAAUAGGAUUAGAUACCCUAGUAGUCCACGCCGUAAACGAUGAGGAGCAGGUGUUGGGAGUGAAAUCUCAGUGCCGAAGCCAACGCAGUGACUCCUCCGCCUGGGGAGUAUGCACGCAAGUGUGAAACUCAAAGGAAUUGACGGGGGCCCGCACAAGCGGUGGAGUAUGUGGUUUAAUUCGAAGCAACGCGAAGAACCUUACCAGGUUUUGACAUCGGAUGCGAAGGCGCAGAGAUGCGCUGGAGGCUAUCAUCCAGACAGGUGGUGCAUGGUUGUCGUCAGCUCGUGUCGUGAGAUGUUCAGUUAAGUCUGGCAACGAGCGCAACCCCCGUGGUAUGUUACUAACGCUUUAGGGCGAGGACUCAUAUCAGACUGCCGGUGACAAACCGGAGGAAGGCGGGGAUGACGUCAAAUCAUCAUGCCCCUUAUGACCUGGGCUACACACGUACUACAAUGGCGUCUACAGAGGGAAGCGACCCUGAGAAGGGAGGCGAAACCGGAAAAGGGCGUCCCAGUUCGGAUUGAAGUCUGCAACCCGACUUCAUGAAGAUGGAAUCGCUAGUAAUCGCGGAUCAGCAUGCCGCGGUGAAUACGUUCCCGGGCCUUGUACACACCGCCCGUCAAACCAUGGAAGCCGGCAACGCCCGAAGCCGGUGGCAUAACCUUUUAGGAGUGAGCCGUCGAAGGCGGGGCCGAUGACUGGGGUUAAGUCGUAACAAGGUACCC